Molecule: long non-coding RNA, 213 nt
Filed under: Aotus nancymaae (Ma's night monkey)
Lineage: Eukaryota; Metazoa; Chordata; Mammalia; Primates; Aotidae
Description: lncRNA (ENSANAG00000039185.1)
Source: RNAcentral
AAGAGUGUGAUCAAACCUUCAUUUAGAAAUCCCUUUGUUGCCUUAGAACGUGGACAAGGAUGGAGACACAAUGGAGGUGAGAGGAACAAUUUGAAAGUCAGAAUAGAAGCUGAAGCAGCUGCAACUAGAGGGUAUAGAAGUUCUAACGAGGUAGAAAGAGGGAAGAACCAAAAGGGUGAAAUCUACCAAUACCAAGAGUCAAAAACAAAUUGA